AGUGAACGCUGGCGGUAGGCCUAACACAUGCAAGUCGAACGGCAGCACAGUAAGAGCUUGCUCUUACGGGUGGCGAGUGGCGGACGGGUGAGGAAUACAUCGGAAUCUACUUUUUCGUGGGGGAUAACGUAGGGAAACUUACGCUAAUACCGCAUACGACCUACGGGUGAAAGCAGGGGAUCUUCGGACCUUGCGCGAUUGAAUGAGCCGAUGUCGGAUUAGCUAGUUGGCGGGGUAAAGGCCCACCAAGGCGACGAUCCGUAGCUGGUCUGAGAGGAUGACAGCCACACCGGGAAAGGGAAACGGGCCCGAGCCCCCAAGGGGGGGAGCAGGGGGGAAAUUUGAAAAAGGGGGGCAAGCCGAACCCGGCCAUCCCGGGGGGGGGAAAAAGGCCUUUGGGUUGUAAAGCCCUUUUUGUGGGAAAAAAAAGCAGCAGGUUAAACCCCCGCUGUUCUGGCGGUACCAAAAAAAGAAGCACCGGCUAACUUCGU
Molecule: ribosomal RNA, 491 nt
Filed under: uncultured bacterium
Lineage: Bacteria
Description: partial 16S ribosomal RNA
Rfam family: Bacterial small subunit ribosomal RNA
Source: RNAcentral